RNAcentral lists this ribosomal RNA (301 nucleotides) under uncultured bacterium. Its description in RNAcentral is "partial 16S ribosomal RNA". It matches the Rfam family "Bacterial small subunit ribosomal RNA", at positions 509 to 807 of the family's 1533-position model. The record is from RNAcentral.
CAGCAGCCACGGUAAUACAGAGGGUGCAAGCGUUAAUCGGAAUUACUGGGCGUAAAGCGCGCGUAGGUGGUUUGUUAAGUUGGAUGUGAAAUCCCCGGGCUCAACCUGGGAACUGCAUCCAAAACUGGCAAGCUAGAGUAUGGUAGAGGGUGGUGGAAUUUCCUGUGUAGCGGUGAAAUGCGUAGAUAUAGGAAGGAACACCAGUGGCGAAGGCGACCACCUGGACUGAUACUGACACUGAGGUGCGAAAGCGUGGGGAGCAAACAGGAUUAGAUACCCCGGUAGUCCCUGUCUCUUAUAC